GUCCACGCUGUAAACGAUGUCGGCUAGACGCUGGGCAGCAAGCUGUUCGGUGUCGGCGCUAACGCAUUAAGCCGACCGCCUGGGGAGUACGGCCGCAAGGUUAAACUCAAAGGAAUUGACGGGGCCCGCACAAGCGGUGGAGCAUGUGGUUUAAUUCGAUGCAACGCGCAGAACCUUACCAGCCCUUGACAUGGGGAGUUUGGUCUCGGAGACGGGAUCCUUCAGUUCGGCUGGCUCCCACACAGGUGCUGCAUGGCUGUCGU
RNAcentral lists this ribosomal RNA (263 nucleotides) under uncultured bacterium. RNAcentral's name for it is "partial 16S ribosomal RNA". It matches the Rfam family "Bacterial small subunit ribosomal RNA", at positions 793 to 1055 of the family's 1533-position model. The record is from RNAcentral.